GUUCAGUGUAGAGUUCAGUAAGGGAAGCCUCUCUGUUCUAAUUAAAUUUUGGGUCAUUGAAUUGGGUUCAGGGAAAUGACUGAAUAGAGAGUAUUAGAAUACUCAUAUACUUCUUGCCUACAUAG
Small nucleolar RNA from Apodemus sylvaticus (European woodmouse), 125 nucleotides. NCBI's taxonomy places the organism in Eukaryota, Metazoa, Chordata, Mammalia, Rodentia, Muridae. The record is from RefSeq and is a predicted model, not a curated record.